ACAGGCCCUGUGCUGUGAUGCAGUGGUGCAGGAAGGCAUGUGGCUCCUGCGGUGGCCGCCGCCCCCACUCAGAGGAGCCUGUGGGCCUCCUCGGACUGCCCUGUGAAUCCUCUACCCAGAUGCUACAGACAGGAACGCUUUCCACGUGGGAAACCAUCUGCUCCACCCACCUCAUGCCCUGGAAGAGUCUCAGCCUGGCCUUACACUCCCUGAUUCUCCUGCCGCAGCCUCCUGAGUACUAGAAUUAUAGGUGUACACCAUCACCAGGCCUGGCACUCUUCCCAUUUUUGGAGACUCAUCUUUUCUUUCCCAGUUUAAAAGUCACAUUUUCUUUCUUUUUUUGAAAAUUCAAAGCACUUUAUUAAUGAGAAUGGAAGAGCCAUCAUAGUAAUAAAAGGUUAUCAGCUUGAGCAAAGUCUCUUAUCUCGCAGGGAAGUAAUCCUGGUGUGUGCUGAGUGUAGAAAUCUAAGUGAAACCAUCGGGCAGGUUCAGUCUGAAGACACUGGGACAGCACUGUCUCUUUCCUCACCGAGAAUACGCAAAAUAAAUAGAUUACAUGGUAGCGAUGGUAUUAAUUGGCCCUUGGCUCUUCUCAAGUGUCCAGUGCAUGCUGCAGAGCUCAUCCAGCUCCGGAGUCCUCCCCUCCCUCUCGCCUGACUGGUGUCUAUGACGAGGACUCUCAGCAGCAGUGGUGCACCCCGCUCUGCGUGGCCGGGGCCACGGACAGCUCAGAGACCCCUGCUGCGGCUGGGCAACUGCUCCACACUAGGGUCCAAAGUCUCAAUUUCCUCUCAUGCGCUCCAAGCACAGGGACCCAGGCAUGGGAGGGCACGGAGCAGGGGCAGCUCUGCACCCGGACCGCUCCUCCCUGUCAGAAGCUCAGCUCAGCAUGGGAAGCUGAGCUCUGUUGUGCUGUGGAAUAAAAGACAGCGAUGAAGGAAGAAAGUGCGCGGCCUCAGCGUGGCCCAGCCCUUCAGCACUGGACAGCCCAGCGCUGGCCCAUGGGAUGGAAGGUGCUGUGUGGCCGGGCGGCCCAUGUGGCACAGCCACGCUCCACUUUGUAGUCAGAAGCUUCCUCAGCAUCCACCUCGCCCCCAGAGAUCCCUGACCUUCUGCUGGCCUCAGUUUCCUCACCUGCAAGACACCCUGCCUCUGAGGGAUCUUGUGAGGUUUAAUUAUGCAAUUCACCACAUUUUCAUGGAUGCAGACGCCCAUGAAGCAGGCCUCAUCCAUGAGGCUGGUUUCCCCGGCGCUGACCCUGAGCCUCCGCCCCAGCUGCAGAUGAGCAGUUCAUCCCCUCAGCCUGUAGCGGGGGUGCAGUGAGCAGGAUGGCCUAGCAUAGCAAGUCCCAGAGCAAAACACACACAGAAGUGUGCACAGACGCAUCCGCAUGUGCACACAGAUCCACUCACACACACACGCACAAAGGCACACGAACAUGCCCCUCCAGACCUGCCAGUUCCCUCCGGAGACUGGCUUAUUUAAAGUCUUAUAAGAAGUUUAGGCCUUGAGGGAGAAGCCCGAGAACUGUGCCCUGGGAAGCAGCCGGGGUCCAGGUGCCAUGGACUCUGGGGCCCCGUGUGCCCUGCUCCAGGAUGCUCAGCAGAGCGAGACCCUGACCUCAGGGGCUUUGGACCUCCAGGUCAGAAGUGACACCAUCACUGCCACAGUGGCGCACUGGAGGUGUGGCACAGGCUUGGUGGCCUCAGAGUCCAGGGGCAGCCAUGGGCACUUGGAGCCUGUACCAUGGGUCCCCUCCAGGAGCCCCAGUGCCUGAACCUCCCUGGCAUCACUUUGGUUGCAGAUCUCAGCCCACCCAUGCCAGCGGGGCCCUUGACGCUGACUGGGUCUCCCCUGCUGACCAGGCCCCACCCAGGCUUCACUGCACCCUGGUCCCAGAAGUAAGAAGGAUGGAGUUGCAGCUGGUCCCUCGGGGGAGAUACUGCAGGUCAGAACAGGGAAGCCCAGGCUCCCUGCAGUCCCUGUGCUCUUCUCUACGUGACGAAUUCUCCAGAAACUAAGACCAUACAGAUGACCUGAACCACAAUCUGUACUCCGAGGUUGGCAGGUAUAGCGCUCCUGCUUGGGAUGGUGGGUUGAGGAGGCCACUCUGUGAAGGGAGAGAAGGUGCAAGGCCCUGAGCCCCAGUGCUGAGCUCUGGCCCUGCUGGGGGUGUCCCCCUUUCCCUAACAAGGGGCUCUGUGCCCCACCUCCCUUACCCCAUCUCAGGGUGCGGGGCUCAGGCAGCCCCUCAUGCCGCACACGGCACGUGUAAUUCUGCUCCUCUCCAGAAGGCACCACCACAGCCGCCCACUUCUGGAAGGUUCCAUUCCCAUUAGGCCUGGUCUCCACCAGCUCCAUCUCCUGGGUCAGCUCCUGCCCAUCCCACUGCCAGGUCAGGGAGAUGUCCUUAGGGUAGAAGCCCAGGGCCCAGCACCGCAGGGUGGCCUGUUCCUUGGAGACGGGGUGGCGGGUCACAUAAACGUGGGGCUGCUCUGCAGUGGACACAGAAAAGGCCUCCAUGAGGGACUUGCCGAGAAGCACAGGCACCAGUGACUGAGAUGCUCUAACCCUCAUGCUUCAGCAGUGCGCUGGGGCAGGCAGGGUGUCAGCUAGGCAGGAGUGGGGAGCCUAGGAUCAGGGUAGGCAGGGAGCUCAGCCCCAGCAGCCAGAGCAGGGGUCGCUUCGAGCCUUGCCUCCCUCUCCUCCAGCCUGGGGCCACUGUUUGUAGACAGACGUUGACUGCAUUCACGGCUGUGUCCAGGGGGAGAGGGGCAGAAGUGUGCACCCCCGGCUGAAGGACACGCCAGCACUCUCCUGAGAGCUCUGCCACAGGGAGGAGAAGGCAGCACCCCAGACUCAACAGGACAGACCCCCCAGAUCUGAGUCUCCUGCAGUGGGCACGCUGUGUGCAGCACAAGGACCCUGUCACCCACACCAGAGUCUGCGCUCACUGCUUUGUGGCCCAGGGGGGCCCUGCUGGGGACUUGGGGCAGCAGAGCAGUGGCCAGGAGAGGUCAUUUACCACGGCGGGCCAGGUCCUCUUUUCCUUGGUCCAGGUAUCUGCGUAGCCACAGGAUGCAUUCCUUCUGCAAGUAUUCCUUGUCUUUUUCUAUUCUGUUCCUGUCCUCCUCCCACUUCCGCUUGGUUUUCAGGGCAAUGAAGGAGGCCGCUACGUAUUGCAGAGCGUCCAGGUCCAAGGUCAGGUAGUCACUGCCAUCAUAGCCGUACUGCCAGUGCCCGCUGGACUGGCCGUCUUCCUGCAGCUCGCAGCCAUAGGUGAACUGGAGGGUGUGGGGGCCUGUCCACCCCGGACACGGUCAGGGAGGCAGGGACCCGUUGGGCCAAGGUGGCCCUGCCUGCCUUCCCGACCCACCCGCUCAAGGCCCCGCAUUGCCUACAGCAUGCUCACGCCCUAGACGACCUAGCUUGCUUCCUGCUUCUGGUCUGUUUUGGUUUCGGCCAGCUGGGAAGUGGCCGAGGCUGGAUUCCAGGGCCUAGACUGCGGUGUCCUACACCCUGAGUCCGCAGGACAGGUCGCUCACCCUCCACAGCUCUGUGUACACAGAAGGGCCAGGGCCUGACCCCACACGAGAAUCUCGGGGCCAACAAUCACAGAUGCUAAGAGCCAGGACCACAGUCGCCAACCACAGUGCCAACCGAAGAGGAUACGCUGUGGUCAGCGGGUUUCUUUCCUUCCUAGAGAGCCCCAUCCUAGCUCCAGCCUGGGCUGCAAGCUUCUCUGUUGAAUUUCAAAAUCAAACAUAAAUAACUGAGUUUGGCAAGCUUGGGUUCACCAUGUGCCCUGGCAUCUAGGCCCAUGGGUCCCCGGUGCUGUGGCCACGCUGACCCUUGUCCCCAGUGACUGUCCCACCCCUUCCACACUGUGGAAAGCCAUGGUCCUCUUUAGCCUGCAUUUCACAGCUUGCUGGUUGAAGGCCUCAGUGGGCUGGUUCCCAUUGCGACAGGAGAAUGACUAAGCCACAGGUUGUUUCUUCCCUUCCUCCACCCAACUCCAGCCUCCAGCCGCACCCCAGCCUCCAGCUGCCCCCACAUCAUCCCUAUCCCUCAGGUUCCCCCCACAGCCCGUCUGACAGCUCAGUCUCUCACCCUGGUCCUGAGCAGAUGAGCCAUUCUCUGGCCGCCCUCAGAACGCCUGCAGAGCCAGGGAGCUGUCCCCAGUGUGUAGGCACUGCCCCUUCUCACUGAGAGCUUUAAGGACGGACCCUUUGGCCACAGUAUUCUAGUUUCCUGCGUGCAGCAACAGUGGAUACAGCCAGGGCUCGACCUGUGACCCAGUGAACAUGGGGCAUGGCGAGAUCCAGGCCCCAGGCCUGAUUCCUGUGAGCAGCUGGGGCACAUUCCUCCCCAGGGACAGCUGCUCAGAGCACCCCGUGGACCUCCCGUCUCUGGGCUCUCCUGCCUGUCAGGUGCGUACCUGCAGGCUUUUGUGGGUGCUCUGUGUUGAUGGUGCUGUUGUAGUAAUUCUGCACAUUCCUCAGACUUAUCUGGAAAAUUUUCAUUCUAUUGGUGAAGAUCUCGGUCUCAUCAUCAAAGUAGGCCUGCUGUUCCUUCAGCCAGGGCACGCAGGGUUCUGCCUGCAUCAGCUUGCUGUUGUAGCGGAUGAAGGGCCGGCCAUCCAGGAAGCCAGAGGCAGAAAAUCUGGGCACUCCAGGGCCUGCCUCAGAGACCGCCGAGUAUUUAUACUGCAGAGAGUGGGACCCUGCAACACAGCCAGGGACUUGCAGUCAGCUGCAGGCUGCAGCGUUUAUCAGGAGGACCCAGAACCUGAGUGUGCGAGUUGUGCGUAUUACAGAUGAGGCAGGCACAUUGCACCCAUCAGACCUUGGGUGUGAGUAAGCCACUCACAUGUGUGAAUUCAAACCCAUGAAGUAUGCAUAGAGGGAAUUCAGAGAAUUGACCAGGAAAUAGUAGUGCCAGGCCUUGGUGUGAAGUUUCUAGAAAGUUCUCAAGCAAGGCUUGGGAAUAGAGGGAACUGGAGAUCUGGAAAUAGCCUCAGGACCUGGUUGAGGUGACGUCCCCCUGGGAUGGGCUCCAGAAGAGGCCCUUGCAGGGCUGUGCUCACUGCCCUGGCACAGUUUUCUUCCUCUGCUGACCCUGCCGUGUACGCGUUUGCAUGUACUGCACACCGUUAUGGGGACCUGGUUACUGAGUGACAGAAGGACAGAGCUUGAGCUGCCUGAAUGAGCCAGGCACUGCACAUGGAUGCUGGACAUAAGUGACAGCCGCACACAGCCAGUUACCAUGCUCCCUGACUAAAUACCCGGGCGGAUUGCACUGUGGAGAGCGGAAACCAGCAAGAGGCUGAAGAGAAGCUGUCUGUCUGUCUCUCUGUCGCUGGUCCCAGGUGACUGUCCUCUUAGCGGGGUGUGAAAUGCAUACCCCACCUGAUUACCAGCCUUAUUGCUAGGAUGGCACAGAAAGCCGUUCUGUUUCCAGAAAGUGACAUGUGGAGCUUCCACCGGCCUCUGCUUUAGCUUUCUUUUUCAUUUAACUCAUUUAUGACUCCGUGAGGUGGACCCUCCCAUUGCAGGGACACAGGGCUGAGCUGCAGGGCCUUCAUGGAAGCCUCCCUGUGACAAAAGGUGAGCUUCUAAGACUAACCUGUGAGCAGUGGCAAGGAGUCCCCGCCCACAAGGUCACUGCACUCCCAACCAAGCCCGCCCAGUGCCCCCUGGUCCUGGCCAUGCCUAACCAGGCCUCCCAGGGCCACAGCUGCUGCACGAGCCCUGGGAUUGCAGGCUGGGAGUUUCCUGCGGUUUGCACAGGGAGAGAGAAGCAUGAGACUUCCCCGGUGGGGCGGCCAUGCCUGGGUGGUGAGCUCUGGGCACGUGGAGCCACUUUCUGCCACGCCCACCCUCGAAGCCAGCGCUCUAAACCCAGGUGGUCCAUGGCGUCCAGUGAAGAUAAUCCUGCGAGGGCAAGGAGCGUGCGCUUCUCAUGAGAACCGUUUCUGAAAGGAUCUGACUUUCUUUCCCAUCUUUCUUGUUGGAGCUGCUGAAGCUGAGUACACAUGCAGAGCUGUGGUGUGAGCAUAGCUGAACUGAGAAUGAGAUCUCUUUGUUGGGCCACACGGAGGCACUGGAGAGCACUGAGGCAGGCGAGGCUGAAGCAAACAGCGAGAACGCGCACUCGCCUCCCAGUUUAGGACUCAACUCUAAGCGCAGAGUCCCCCAGCAAGCUCAGGAA
This is a long non-coding RNA of Cavia porcellus (domestic guinea pig), 6210 nucleotides long. RefSeq lists it as uncharacterized. NCBI's taxonomy places the organism in Eukaryota, Metazoa, Chordata, Mammalia, Rodentia, Caviidae. The record is from RefSeq and is a predicted model, not a curated record. The transcript has 3 exons.